This 494-nucleotide ribosomal RNA is filed under the name uncultured bacterium. Its description in RNAcentral is "partial 16S ribosomal RNA". It matches the Rfam family "Bacterial small subunit ribosomal RNA", at positions 28 to 506 of the family's 1533-position model. The record is from RNAcentral.
GACGAACGCUGGCGGCGUGCCUAAUACAUGCAAGUAGAACGCUGAAGGAGGAGCUUGCUUCUCUGGAUGAGUUGCGAACGGGUGAGUAACGCGUAGGUAACCUGCCUGGUAGUGGGGGAUAACUAUUGGAAACGAUAGCUAAUACCGCAUAAUAGCAGUUGUUGCAUGAUAACUGUUUGAAAGGUGCAAUUGCACCGCUACCAGAUGGACCUGCGUUGUAUUAGCUAGUUGGUGGGGUAACGGCUCACCAAGGCGACGAUACAUAGCCGACCUGAGAGGGUGAUCGGCCACACUGGGACUGAGACACGGCCCUGACUCCUGCGGGAGGCAGCAGUAGGGAAUCUUCGGCAAUAGACGGAAGUCUGACCGAGCAACGCCGCGUGAGUGAAGAAGGUUUUCGGAUCGUAAAGCUCUGUUGUAAGAGAAGAACGAGUGUGGGAGUGGAAAGUUCACACUGUGCCGGUAUCUUACCAGAAAGGGACGGCUAACUACGU